Molecule: long non-coding RNA, 1274 nt
Organism: Phacochoerus africanus (Common warthog)
Lineage: Eukaryota; Metazoa; Chordata; Mammalia; Artiodactyla; Suidae
Exons: 2
Source: RefSeq, a predicted model, not a curated record
GCCCGGGCCGGCGCGCGAGGGCGGGGCUGGGUCGCGAAGGGCCGUUCCGGGUCCGACCGGUGGGCCGGGUUCGGAUGGAGCCAGAGUGUCCGCGAGCGCCCCACGGACUCGAGGCAGCACAAAGUUGCAGCCAUGGAUCCCUUGAGGCGCCUCUGGGCGCAGGGAGAUGCUGCCUCCGCCGCCUGACAGCCUCCGAGUGUCCUGGUGCCUAUGCAGACCUGAGGUUCAUUUCCGUAGCAAGUUUGGUCCGUUUAGGAGUAUUUAUUUCAUGAGGUGUUUUUUCUUUAAUUGCCUCACCCCCCAAAAAUACUGGUUGCAGAACACCUGCCAGCAGCAGACUAUUUCUCCAUGCGUUGCGCGCUCCGGUAGGGCCGAGUCUCCUACGUUACUUGUGAUGCGUAGUCACCAAAAGCCUUCAUCUUUGAAAUACCACAGCUAAGCAAUGAAAAUAGUGAGCCCUUCCUUGACAAAGCCGCUUUAUUUUUGUCAUGACUCUGUCUUUUCCAGCAUGGAGAUGAUUUUUCUCUCCACCAAUUGGAUCUCUUCUUUUCUGGGAAAGACCAGAGAAUUGUGCCGUCCCUGCUGGGUUUUGUCUUCAGCCCUCGUUUCUGCGGCGGAGAGCAGUACAGCUUCAUAAGGCGGCUUUUCAGCAGAGAAGCCUGCGGUGUUGAACCAGUGCCACGGGGGGCGGGGGGGGGGAUUCUUCAAUAGAGCUCGUCUUCUUUCUCAAAAUUAAAGUGGUGACUUGCAGAAAAGCAUAUGUGUAUAAACGACACGUCCAUGUUCUGACAUUCUGUUCCUUUAGGGCUUUUAGUUCCUGUGCUUCUAUGGAGACUCAAGUUUUUUGUUGUUGUUGUUGAUUUGUUGGUUUGUUUGUUGUGGGGAAUGUCGCUCUGUCCAUACAGCUUAGAACUGUCUAGCUAGGUCGCACACAUGCCACGUGGGUUGUCAGCCAUAGUGUCAGCUGAAUUGUAACAGUAAGAGCUUUAUUCCUGAUGAUGCUAUUACCAAGAAUGACUUGUCUCUUAGAGCAAAGAAUUUAGUUUUGCAAAGAUGGCAACUAGAUGGCUGAUAGCCAGAGCAAGUACCUGUGGAAAAUUUAAUAUUGCUGGACGAUAAACUUGAGCUCCCUGCAGUGUUAUUUUUGUAAUAAAAAUAUGUAGCCUACCUGAAAUGCCUACCCUAUGAUGCAGGACACAGAGAAGGCUCUAAGUCGGUGUUAAUUAUGACUGUUUUUCUGACUCAUUAAAAACCCCUGUUUGUGUUACACGUGA